This 863-nucleotide ribosomal RNA is filed under the name Acidovorax defluvii. RNAcentral describes it as "bacterial SSU rRNA". It matches the Rfam family "Bacterial small subunit ribosomal RNA", at positions 20 to 881 of the family's 1533-position model. Lineage: Bacteria; Pseudomonadati; Pseudomonadota; Betaproteobacteria; Burkholderiales; Comamonadaceae. The record is from RNAcentral.
UGGCUCAGAUUGAACGCUGGCGGCAUGCUUUACACAUGCAAGUCGAACGGUAGCACGUGUUAGCAUGGUGACGAGUGGCGAACGGGUGAGUAAUACAUCGGAACGUACCCGGUAGUGGGGGAUAACGUAGCGAAAGCUAUGCUAAUACCGCAUACGAUCUACGGAUGAAAGCAGGGGACCUUAAGGCCUCAUGCUGAUGGAGCGGCCGAUGUCAGAUUAGGUAGUUGGUGAGAUAAAGGCUCACCAAGCCGACGAUCAGUAGCUGGUCUGAGAGGACGACCAGCCACACUGGGACUGAGACACGGUCCAGACUCCUACGGGAGGCAGCAGUGGGGAAUUUUGGACAAUGGGCGCAAGCCUGAUCCAGCCAUGCCGCGUGCAUGAUGAAGGCCUUCGGGUUGUAAAGUUCUUUUGUCAGGAAAGAAACGACUCCUUCUAAUAUUGGGGGUUCAUGACGGUACCGUAAGAAUAAGCACCGGCUAACUACGUGCCAGCAGCCGCGGUAAUACGUAGGGUGCGAGCGUUAAUCGGAAUUACUGGGCGUAAAGCGUGCGCAGGCGGUUAUAUAAGUCAGUUGUGAAAUCCCCGGGCUCAACCUGGGAAUUGCGUUGGUGACUGCAUAGCUAGAGUACGGCAGAGGGGGAUGGAAUUCCGCGUGUAGCAGUGAAAUGCGUAGAUAUGCGGAGGAACACCGAUGGCGAAGGCAAUCCCCUGGGCCAGGAUUGACGCUCAUGCACGAAAGCGUGGGGAGCAAACAGGAUUAGAUACCCUGGUAGUCCACGCCCUAAACGAUGUCUACUAGUUGUUGGGAAUUCACUAUCUCAGUAACGCAGCUAACGCGUGAAGUUGACCGCCUGGGGAGU